UCUUCCUUCUAUCUCACUAGAAAAUGAAAAACUCAGCACGUGUUUGGUUCGCUUUUUUUUCAGUAUGAUAUCGGAAUCGGAAUCGGUAAAUCCGUUUGAGGGUGUUUGGUACGCGGAAGUUCCAUUCCGAUUCCGAUUCCCGAGUGGAAUGAAAAUCCCCCAAUCACAUCUUUUUGCAAUCCGGUCUAGCAGACCGGAUUGAAAGUUGAAUCCGGACAGAAUGUAUAUUUAUUCGGAUUAAAUUUAUUUUUUCAACUUUUUUAAUUAAAAAUAUGAGUUAAAAUUUAAAAAUUAAAUAUAUAAUUUUAAAUUUUAAUUUAAACUUAAAUUAAAAAUUAAAAUUUAAUCAAGUAUUUCGAAUCUAACUUAUGAAUNAUGAGUACGAAGGCGAUCGUACUCAUAAGAGUGUAGUAGCCGGACUCUAUAUAUAUAUAUAUAUAUAUAUAUAUAUAUAAUUUGGCCGGAAUACUAUUAAUAGCACAAAAUUAUUGAUGCUAUUAGGUUUCGACUCUUUAUUGAAAAAAUGUACGGUAAGAUGAUAGUGGUCCUUUAGGGUUGAGUAUGUGGUUGGUUGAAUAGUAUGAUCUAACGGUUAAAAAUAAUGAAAGGAAUAAAUCUAACGGCAGAAAAUUCGGUAGUACCAAACGCUUGGUGUUAUCGAUAGUAUCCCAGCUACCAGCUGGACUUCAUAUAUAUAUAUAUAUAUAUAUAUAUAUAGAGAGAGAGAGAGAGAGAGAGAGAGAGAGAGAGCUACGCUGCUAUACUAUCGGCAGUACGAAGGACUCUAUACUACUAAAUUAUUUUUAGUGAUGCAGCUUCCAAAUCAACGAGCAGCUCUAUCAAAGUUGAUUUACACUAUUGAAGUAUUUGAAAGCUAAAUUUUAUAAUUUUUCGAUACUAUUUGGCUAGUAAUCAAAAUGUCUUAAAAUUAAUCAUUUUAAUAGUUGAUGUGAUACGUUUGUGAAUUUAACGGUGUAAAACAAUUCAAAUCCGAUGAAAUUUUUAUUAUUAUUAUUUUUCAUUAUUUAGAGUAAGAUCUCUGAUCUUAAAUUCACAUAUUUUAUCAUCAUUUUUUAUGAAAUUUUUAUUUUCAGCCGUUUAUUUCUAGACUACUUACUCAAUGGAUAAAUUAUAUCGAAAAAUUAUGAAAUUUAGUUUUCGAAUACUUUCAAUAAUAUAAAUCAAAUUUAACGGAGCUGAUUAUCGAUUUGAAAGUCGCAUUUUUAAAAAUAAUUUAGUAGUACGAAGACUUCCGUACAACCGAUAAUAUAGCAGCCGGACUCUAAUAAGCACCGGCUAUUAGUGCUAUUAGGUUUUCGACUUUUGGAUGAAAAAAAUAUACGGUUAGAAUAAUGUGGGUCUUUUAGGAUUGAGCGAGUUAUUAAUUAAACAGUAUAAUAAUUUAACGGAUAAAAAUAAUUAAAGAAUUAAAUCUAAAAGCAAAAAAAAUUAAUAGCAUUAAAUAUUUGGUACUCCUAAUAAUGUAAGUGAGAAAUAGAACGAUCAAACGUUCAUUUUCAUAUAUUUUUUUUUAUAAUU
Molecule: long non-coding RNA, 1539 nt
Filed under: Ananas comosus (pineapple)
Lineage: Eukaryota; Viridiplantae; Streptophyta; Magnoliopsida; Poales; Bromeliaceae
Description: long non-coding RNA (ACOM_LNC002838)
Source: RNAcentral